This 496-nucleotide ribosomal RNA is filed under the name uncultured bacterium. Its description in RNAcentral is "partial 16S ribosomal RNA". It matches the Rfam family "Bacterial small subunit ribosomal RNA", at positions 29 to 507 of the family's 1533-position model. The record is from RNAcentral.
AUGAACGCUGGCGGCGUGCCUAAUACAUGCAAGUCGAGCGAACAGACGAGGAGCUUGCUCCUCUGACGUUAGCGGCGGACGGGUGAGUAACACGUGGAUAACCUACCUAUAAGACUGGGAUAACUUCGGGAAACCGGAGCUAAUACCGGAUAAUAUAUUGAACCGCAUGGUUCAAUAGUGAAAGACGGUUUUGCUGUCACUUAUAGAUGGAUCCGCGCCGCAUUAGCUAGUUGGUAAGGUAACGGCUUACCAAGGCAACGAUGCGUAGCCGACCUGAGAGGGUCAUCGGCCACAUUGGACCAGAAACUGGGUCAAGAAUCCUCCAGAAGGCAGCAGUAGGGAAUAUUCAGCACUGGGCGACCGCCUGCCGGAGCAACGCCGAGUGAGUGAUGAACGUCUUCGGAUCGGAAAACUCUGUUAUUGGGGAAGCACAAAUGUGUCAGUAACUAUGCACGUAUUGACGGUACCUCACCAGCCAGCCAAGGCUAACUACGUG